CCCUUUCAAAAGAAGACAUCCAACUCAGCGUUUCUUUCUCUCUGCUUGCCAGUCAGGAUGUAGUUCUCAACCACAACUCCAGCAUUAUGCCUGCUAAGCUCUUGCCAUGAUGAAGAUGGACUAAACCUCUGAAACUGGCUAGAACACUGGAUUCUCGAUUGUACGUCAUGAUCUAACAUAGCAGUUCUCAAAGUGCUUUCUUUUCAGACAGUCCUCCUGAUAAAGGUAGUUUCAUCAAUACCGAGGCCCUAUUGUCUCUUGUAUUCUUUGUCCCAAGGGAACACAUUAAGUACAGAAGCAACAGAGAAGCCAGCUCACCUCUCUUGUGCCAGAUAAAAAAGACUUACGGAAACUACCUUUUUUUUUUUUUUCUCGCUCUUUUUGAGUUUUGAAAUGAAAGCUUUUAAUAAUAAAUAUCGUGUAAUGCU
This is a non-coding RNA of Rattus norvegicus (Norway rat), 428 nucleotides long. The record is from RefSeq and is a predicted model, not a curated record. Lineage: Eukaryota; Metazoa; Chordata; Mammalia; Rodentia; Muridae.